AGAGUUUGAUCCUGGCUCAGAUUGAACGCUGGCGGCAGGCCUAACACAUGCAAGUCGAGCGGAAACGAUGGAAGCUUGCUUCCAGGCGUCGAGCGGCGGACGGGUGAGUAACGCGUAGGAAUCUGCCUGGUAGUGGGGGAUAGCCCAGAGAAAUUUGGAUUAAUACCGCAUACGCCCUACGGGGGAAAGCAGGGGAUCUUCGGACCUUGCGCUAUCAGAUGAGCCUGCGUCGGAUUAGCUAGUUGGUGGGGUAAAGGCCUACCAAGGCGACGAUCCGUAGCUGGUCUGAGAGGAUGAUCAGCCACACUGGGACUGAGACACGGCCCAGACUCCUACGGGAGGCAGCAGUGGGGAAUAUUGGACAAUGGGCGCAAGCCUGAUCCAGCCAUGCCGCGUGUGUGAAGAAGGCUCUAGGGUUGUAAAGCACUUUCAGCAAGGAGGAAAGGGGUUCCGUUAAUACCGGAAUCCUGUGACGUUACUUGCAGAAGAAGCACCGGCUAACUCCGUGCCAGCAGCCGCGGUAAUACGGANGGUGCAAGCGUUAAUCGGAAUUACUGGGC
Molecule: ribosomal RNA, 560 nt
Filed under: uncultured Gammaproteobacteria bacterium
Lineage: Bacteria; Pseudomonadati; Pseudomonadota; Gammaproteobacteria
Description: bacterial SSU rRNA
Rfam family: Bacterial small subunit ribosomal RNA
Source: RNAcentral